UUUAGUGUAAGAGUCAAAAAGUUAAUUGCUCAGUUGCAGGAAUCUUAGAUAAAAGUUUGUUCAGUAACUAUAAUUCACUGCAGCCUACCAGAAGCUUGCAAGUAAAUAACUUUACACCAAAGUCCUUCUACUGCCCUCUGAUGACUCACAAGUAACAGAAGGUUUUUGAAGCAAAAGAAGAGAUUGUCUUAUUAUGAGACAGUGUGAUUUAUUCCAAUCAAAGGUGGCGUCAUUUCUGUUCUCUUAUAUCUGCAAGAGUCCAUUUCAAGAACAUCCUAUAAGCUUGGGCUGAAGUUUUCAAAAAACAAUGCUUUGCCUCUCAACUCCCUGCUCCUUUUUGCCAGUGAUAUACCCUAAAUGCCACAGCCAUAUUGCUAACAACGUACGUUUUUCUGUACUUAGCAGAAGAUCAAGAGCCUUUAAUAUAAUGUCCAGAAGUGAUUGCAUUAUAUCCUUCCUUACGUGUCCCAUAAACUGAAAUGUCAUCUCCAUAAACUUCCACUCCCCUUAGGCCCUCUGGGCAGCAUCAUUUCCCUUCCGUCCGGAGGUCUGCAGAAGAAGUAACUCCCUAGCAGCCCUAUGCAAUUUGUCUCCCGUUAUCACCAAGCUGGACAAGAACUUUGGGCAAGAUGUGGGCUGCACCCCAUCAGGGCUAUAUUGACAUAUCAGAUAUGGCACAGAUGGAGCCCAAGAACCAAGCAAGCAGUCUUGAGGCUCAGCUUAUUCCCUUCCCUGUUGCAUAGUUAGGCACAUUUUUCUUCUUACCCAACAAUAGGAUUUUGUGGGGACCUGUGGGGUUGUGCACACAGUGUGUUACCAUCUUCCACAGUAACCCCCUUGAAUCAUGUGCUUUUUACAAAGCCAAGACCCAAGGAUUUCCCUGUGCACUGACAGACCUAGCCUUGGAUUACCAGGUUACAAAGACAUCACUCAUAUCCUCUUUGCUUUUGUAGCAUGUACGGGCUCUGAAUGGAUCUAGACAACUGAUUUGUCACCUUGAGCAGGUGCACUUUUGUGCCUUUACAAAUCCCAGCCACCUCUGCCCUGGAAUCAAUGUGAAAUUUAACAACUGUAUUGCAGACCUUAAAAAUAACAGUCUAGACUUGUUCAUGAAUGCCUGCUUUGGACAUUGAACUCAGAAAAUAGCACAACCUUUAUCUAAGCACAGAGUCAGAUGCCAUUCCAGCACCUUCAUCUUCAAUGAUGUCCCUGUCCUGGUGUAACAGACUUGGCCCGAAUGAAACAGCAAGCAGCACAGCAAAGUUGUACCAGAGAAGAAAUCGAGAACGGAACUUUCCUUCUUUGAAAGAAUGCCAAAAGCUUUACUAUUCAUGUCCAGCACGAUCAGGCAUUAUUAUUAAUACAUCAUGACUACCUUGAGGCUCAUCUUAAACAGUACAAGGCAGUGCCCUGCAGAAGCAGUUCAGAAAUAGAAAUGAGAAGUGAAGAGCAUGACUCGCAGUAUUUUGUGCAAGGAUCACACAGCCUGACCUUCAGGUCUGGCUUUCCAGUGAGCCCUACCAACAACAGCUCAGCCAGCCUCAGACAUGUAUGGAAGCAUGCCUGGGCUCACUUCUGGCAGAGUAUCAGUGGAGCCAGCUCCAUAAGCUGGCACACAGCAUCUCUGGCUGUGACAACAUGGGAGCAGAAGCAGGAUGAUGGUGCUGUGCAUGGAUCCAGUGUUUCACUUUUUCAGAGAGGAGUCUUGAGAAAUGACAGUGCAUUUGCCAACCUUGCUUCAGACUCUCCAGGCAGGAUGUGCUCACAAAAGAAUGGGUAGAUCUCAGCAGGCCCAGGAAGUCAGGAAAGCAUCAAUUUCAGACAUUGUUGGACUGAUAUUCUUUGUCCUGGCUUUUUUAUCCACACCUGUCACCAUCUUCUUUGUCAAGGAAAAUGGAGGUAAUAUCAUCAUCAGGCUAUAUGCAGCACACUGGCAAUGAGAAAAUGCAAAGACAAUUGCUAAUGUUAUUUGGUGAUCCCUGGAGAUCUGUGGAUUCAGCAUGCCUACUUCUGGAUGCACAGACCCUCAGAUCUACUCCAGAGGAGUGGGACAUAGCUUAGAAGUACCCAGGUUCCAGAAAGAUUUUCAAGCCACACGGUGGAAGCAGAGAAGCCUGAGAGGAUGGCAGCUGUCAGGACGAGAAACCAGGCAACUGAAUGGGGUGCUCAGUUGCAAAAAAAGACAACAGCAGGAAAGAAGGGGGCAUAUGUUUAAAAUACUGCUGUGGAGCUAAAGAUGGGAGUUGUAAGGAAAAGCAGAAAAAAAUAACAAAAAGCUCAUCAACACCCACCUGCCAAGAGUGUCAAUAAAAAUGAUAGGAGCAAAGGCAAAGGAUUAUUUUUUCUCUGCAGCAAGAAGCACAGAUGGGCAAAAGUAUAAAACAAAAGCUUGUAUGAGGUUUUCAUCUGUGCUGCAGUUCCCAAGAAUGAGUGCGCAAGAAAAAUGUUUACGUGAAUUACGUUAAAUGUAAGCAAACUCUGGAUUGGUAUUCAUGAAUAUUCUUAUCAUAAAGACAUCUCAAAUAUUUUUAAAUCCUGUUUGGUUAGUUCUGACGGAGUAGUAAUUUGUAUGGUGAGGUGUGUUAGUGUAAAAUAGGAAUGGAAGUAUGAAGAGUGCUGAGGAGAUUUAUUUUAAAUAUAUAUAUACUUGCCACAGCUCCAUUACAGGAGCUGGGUAAAGUGAUGUCUAAGCUAUGUUUGUAGCAAUUUGGAGAAUUAAAAGGCAUUACCAGUCACUACCAUUUUUUCUGGAAGGCAUUUGUGUUUGUAAUAUACAAAUUUGUACUACUGUCACUGCUGUGAUCCCAUUUGUGCAAAUAUUCAAUGAAUAUGACACAAAGUUUCUGCCAGCAUCCAGUCAUCAUGCUGCUGAUGAACACUAUCCAUGCUUUCAGUAACUGAGAACAUAGUAUUUUUAAAGCUGAUUGAAAACAAAAUUACAUGGCAGUUACGACCAAGCCAUAUAGUAGUACCUGACUUCUAUAACUGUACUCUUAGAGUUUGGUUCUAUCAUUUAAGGAAGUGUCAUUGAGGGAAACAAUAUUGUGAACAUAAUAAAAUUCCAGCAAGAUAAAGACUGUGAAUGGACCAUCUCUGCAGCCUCCAAAGUCAGGAAGAAUUGGUAAGUCUUUUCUGUCUUUGUGAAGUGCACAGUAAAGCAGGACUCAACCCCUGGGUCAACCCAUGAGCCUGGACUUGCAUCCUUACUGACUCAUUAGAGUCAGUAUGUGCACUGCAUAUCAUUAUAUAGAUGCUGAAGCAAACUAUUUGUUCAGUUUUGUUCAGAUUUCUCAAGAGGAAUGAGCAGUUUUGAGGCUAGAAAGACAGCCAGGGGAGUGAUAGCUCAGGACUGAAGCAUGGAGUGAAUCUAACUGACACCAUAAAACACAAAUAGGAACCCAAACUAAACAACAGAAGGAAAUAUCAAAAACUGUCUCUAUUCUGUGGUUGACAGGGUCGUUAGAAGUAGGCUAUAUGCUUUUUUUUAGCUAUAGAUCACAUUCAACAUACUAGUAUGUUCAAGCAUUGUACGUUCAUUCCAAAAGAAGCUGUUCAAGAGAUCUGAAGUUGUCCCCUGAAGGCAGUUUGAGCUCUUUUUCAGUGCAGAAGUUUCCCCAGUAAUUUUCUUCCUUUAGUUUGUGAUUCUGUAGUGGUUGGCUUGGUCAGCAUAUACUGACCAAGCUUCUUUCUUUGUCAUGUUGUUUUGUAAUGAACUCUUAUUUCAGCAUGGGGCCACUUCCCAUCCUGCUUUAUAACACCGGCAUGUGGUAAUUGGCUCCAGGAAGGAGACAAAACAUAUGUUUCCUUAUGGCACUAAUUAAUUAGUCAUAUGUACACUCAAUACUUAAUUGCUAUUGUACGCUCUGGCCUGUGUGACUUCUGUGAAAAUAUCGGACUGUAUACUAAUCUCAAUUAGAAACUCAUGGAAAAGUGAGAAGUGCCUGUAGUUUCUAUGAGCGAGAGAAGCAAAAUUUCACUCAUCAUACUAAUAACACCCAGCGUGUCAUUUUUUUUCUUUUUUUUAAAUCCUUUGCACUAUGCUCAGUACAUUUCUCUAAUGUAACCAAGCCUGGAAGCAUAAAGCAUCUGUGCUCUACUUAAAAAUGCUGAUAUGACAAAGAAAACCUCUUCCUCGUGACUGUUAGUCCUCUUCUGCAGCAUAACAAGUGCUAGUCAACCACAAGUGCUCCUAAGAAUGGCUACUUUUAGUGCUUCUUACCAAUAACAGGCAGAGGUUUUGCCCAUUAAGGGUUUAAUUUUCCAUCUUGCAACAGGGACAACCAUUUGGAGUUUUGCCCAUAUAUUCUGUGCUGAAUUUUUAGGUAUUUAUAACAUUUCUAUGAUACUUACUGCCAUAUUACCGAAGGCUCUCACACUCAUUAAUCUCCAAUAUAAAUUGUUCCUUUGUUCAUUUCUUAGAUGACUUAUAUAAAGACCACAGCCUUUCAAGCAGAAGUUGAGAAUAAAUUAAAAUUUCUUUUUUGCUCAUUACUUUUCCCACUCUAAGUGUUCCUGAAAUAGCCAGUAUAAUUAGAACAAACAAAAAAAUAAAAAGCCACAGAGCUAAAUUUUGCCCUUAAAAAUAUAUAUGGGUAACAGCAAAUUUGGAGGUACUGGAAAGAGUUCAGCACAAGGCCACCAACAUGAUUAAAGGAGUGAAACUUCUUACAUGAAGGAGGGUUGAAUGAAUUGGGGCUCUUCAGCCUGGAGAAAGAGUUGAGGAAGAUCUCUUAGAUGUGUAUCUGUAGAGAGCUGCAAAGAAGACAGAGCCAGGUUUUUUUUUCAGCAGUUCCCAGGUCAAGGACAAGAUGCAAUCGGCAUGAACUGAAGUGACUGAGCACCAGCACAGACUGCUCAGAGCAGUGGUGCAGUCUUUCUUUGGAGAUAUUCAAAAGCUUUCUAAACAUGAUCUUGGGCAACCUGCUGCAGGUGGCUCUGCUUGAGCAAGGGGUUGGAUCAGGCCUCUAGAGUUCCCUUUCAGUUUAAACCAUUCUGUGAACUCUAUGGGGUCCAUAUAUAUAUCUACAAAGACAAAGUACAGAUCAUUUUAUUUUAAAACCAAGGUAAAAUAUUACAUAUCUUUCAAGUUACUGCGCUAGCUUGCUCUGAGUUGUAUGACUGAAGACAAUUGUUAGAGCAAAUUUCUGAUAAUUUUAAAGUUAUUCAGUGCAACAAUCUUACUAACAAAGUAGCAUUAAUCAUAAUCAUUGAGAUUCACUGGAUUUAUGAGUGGAAGCCUGGAUGAAGGAGCAGAAUAAUUAAUGAACACAAAAUACAUCCACAUGUGAGAAUCUGAUAGACAAGAAGGAUGGAAAGUGCAAUGGUGGUCUCCAACCUCAAAUGUCCAUCUCUCUGAGGUCCCAGUCCUCCACUGCAAUGGAAACCUCAGAUUCUUAUGAAGUAGCUGCAGUCCUCAGUCUCUAACCCUGCAUACUAAACAGGCUUCUGUUUUUCUUUACAUAUCAGAGUAUUAUUUUUAUAGCUCAGGAAGCUAAUAGUGAAGCAAAGGAUUGUCCCCGUAAUGAUGGCCAGCUGUAAUGUAUGCUUGGAAAUCUACACAAUAAAAGCCAAAGAAUAUAUACAGAGUGGCAUGAACUGUUUACAACAAAAUCUGAUAUCUGGAAGACAGUAUUGCCUAUCUGAGAGUUAGAUAUUUGAAUCUAAAUUCAAGUUUAUAACUUGAAACUUGAAUCAAGUCAAAAUUUGAUACAGUACACAAAUAUGUAGUGAUCAAAGUAUGACUUUAUGCUAUUCUGUACUAUUGUACCACAUCAUAACAUGAAAAUUGGCAGUUCCCAGUGUUUCCUGAACCUGAAACUUCAAGUAUAACUUAGUGCUUGAGUAACUCAAGCUAGACCUAACUCAUGGCAAUCUUGUAUCUUGUCAUUUACACCUGUGCUAUGAGGAUCGAGUGGAGCAUAGCAAGCUGCUAUUUUUCUCCCACUCCAUACAGAGAUGUAAAUGAAUUCAGCAAAGUGAAGGCUUGUGAAGACAGUGGUGUAAUCUCCAGAAAUAUGAGAGUCAGGAAUAUGAACUCCCAUACUGCUGCAGAAGAUAAAUAGCCUAAGAGAAGCAAAUCAGUGAGGAAGUGUAUAGAAGUGCCCAUGAGAUUAGCAGCAGAAGAGUAGGACCACAAUCUGAAAACAGCUAUAGCAGAAGUUCUGCUAUACCAACAGAAAAUGGUCCAUUUUCUCACCAAUGAUACAUGUCACAGGCAUAGCUGUAGUAUCGUGUCUGAAAUGAAUGUAGCUCAUAGCAUAUUUUCCAUAGAUGUUUGAAUGUAACAUUUUUGCUGCCCAGGAAAAAGAAACUGAAAACACAUCUUGUAAAAGAACACUGCGAGUAUGUACACCUAAAGAAGACACAUCCCAGAGAAAUAAGUGUAGAAAACCUGGGUAUCUAAAGUGCUGGAAGAAACUUAGUGAUAAUCAUGAUAUAGUUAUAUAAAAGUAUUUUAUCACUGUUUUGGCAAUUCUGCCUCUUUAUUGAUCCAAGAAGUAAAACCAAAGUUAAAUUUUAGAAGGUGUUGUGUCCUUAAGAAGUAAUCCAACAAGAACUGAGAAGACCCUGGUUUCACUACAUUGAAAAAAAUAUAUAUCUCUACAGUUUGGAAUCUCAUUAGACAUCUCUGGUAACAGUGAUUCAAUACCAUGAAAUACUCAGGCUGGUGACCGAUGCAAGUCUGGCAACAUCAUAUCAUAGAGUUUGAGGAUUUGAACUGACACAGACUUUUUUUUUUCUAUUGUUUAAGUUAAGUAUAGAUCAUCUUUGAAGAUCCCUCUGUGCACACUUUUGUUUUGAUUUUUCGGUGGAUCCUGAAGGCAAUGGAUCUGUGGUGACUGAGUAGCUGGGCCUCUGUGUAUACUUUUAUGGUUGUUAUACUGAAUGAACGAUAAUAAGAACACAGGGAGAUGUCUGCUAUUACACAAAGGAGAAAUUCAGCAGCUAGUUUCAGCUGAAGGGGGAGUAACUUUCCUAUGUGUCAAGAAAAACCUCCCUCCAAAAAAAAA
This is a non-coding RNA of Coturnix japonica (Japanese quail), 7010 nucleotides long. The record is from RefSeq and is a predicted model, not a curated record. NCBI's taxonomy places the organism in Eukaryota, Metazoa, Chordata, Aves, Galliformes, Phasianidae.